Molecule: ribosomal RNA, 500 nt
Filed under: uncultured bacterium
Lineage: Bacteria
Description: partial 16S ribosomal RNA
Rfam family: Bacterial small subunit ribosomal RNA
Source: RNAcentral
AUUGAACGCUGGCGGCAGGCCUAACACAUGCAAGUCGAGCGGAUGACGGGAGCUUGCUCCUUGAUUCAGCGGCGGACGGGUGAGUAAUGCCUAGGAAUCUGCCUGGUAGUGGGGGACAACGUUUCGAAAGGAACGCUAAUACCGCAUACGUCCUACGGGAGAAAGCAGGGGACCUUCGGGCCUUGCGCUAUCAGGUGAGCCUAGGUCGGAUUAGCUAGUUGGUGGGGUGAUGGCUCACCAAGGCGACGAUCCGUAACUGGUCUGAGAGGAUGAUGAGUCACACUGGAACUGAGACGCGGUCCAGACUCCUACGGGAGGCAGCAGUGGGGAAUAUUGGACAAUGGGCGAAAGCCUGGUCUAGCCAUGCCGCGUGUGUGAAGAAGGUCUUCGGAAUGUAAAGCACUUCAAGUUGGGAGGAAGGGCAGUAAGCUAAUACCUUGCUGUUUUGACGUUACCGACAGAAUAAGCACCGGCUAACUCUGUGCCAGCCGCCGCCGUAA